ACCUGCGGCCCGCGCCCCCACACCCACCCACUCCUCCGAGGCUCCGACGGCUCCCCUCGGCCCUCCCCAUCCUCUCGCCCGGCCGCGCUCUAGCCAGCCGCGCCGCCGCCCGCCGCUCUAGCCAGCUGCGCCGCCACCCUCCACCCCUGCUCUGUCCCCCGCACGCCGCCGUUGAGGGUCGGACACGCCUCUCCCCCAUCCCGCGUCCGGCCAUCGCUCUCCGGUGUCACCGCCGCCGGAGCCGCCCUGCCCCGCAGCAGCAUCGCUCCGUCCUCCCCAGCCCUUCGCGGUCGACACACGGCGCCGCGGACAAACCUCCGCUGCACUCGCGGGCCUCCGCCCCCCCCCCCCCCCCCCCGCCGACGCCGCGGCCGGCUCCGCCUCCCUCUCGCUUGCCGACGGUGGUCGCCAACUCUCCGCGCGAGUUCGAUAUCCCACCGCGCCGGCGCUCCGCCAUCUACGCGCCGCAGGCAGAUCUUCGUGCGCGCGGGAGGCAGCACAGCUCCUCUGGACUCCCCCGCCCAUUGUUGCUGACGCUGCGGACGGAACUCCGCGUGCAGGGACACGUCCAGCCUCCCCCGCGCCUCCCAAUCGACGCACGGCGCUGCCAGCCUCGCCCUCUCACCGGCUCUCCAGGUGAUGCUGGCGGAGCCGCCGUUGAUGGCUGUUGUUUCAGCACGACCCCAUGUGUGCUCGUAGCUGAGCAACGGUGGCCGACACAACCUUUAUCCUAGGGACGAUUGGUCAAGGUGCCCAGGUUGCACACUUCUGAAAUUAAGCUCCGUCAGAUUUAAGCUUCUUUCAUUUAUCGAUGGUAUUGCAAUCCUUUUUUUGCACCUAAAAUCUCACACAUCCUCCUGUUACAAUGAAAAUCACAAAAUCCUUGUGAAUUUUGCUUCCACAAGUUUCACACAUUUGUGAAUUACUGACAUUUUGCAGUCAUACUACCUUUGGAAAUUUGCGCACCUUUGUGAUUCGCUGAAAGUUUCACACUUUUAAAGAGAGGAUAUCAACGGGAUGAAGCAGCAUCUUUGUUCUCUGAAAGUUCUGCUAGCAUUCAGAGAUCGCACUGGCACUCAAUACAAUACUUACAGUUUCACUUUUUCUGAUUGAUUUGGUAAAAUGCUUGUGACAUAAAUUGAACAUCUCCUGAUCUUCUCAUUAUGUUUUACAGAUAGUAUACUACAUUCAUGGCAAAUCUAGGAGUGUCUCUGUUGUCAUCGAAUUUAUAUUGGUUGUGCUAGAGCAAAGAUAUGGUGAAUUAUAUGUUCCCUUCCAUCAGCAAGCUGCCAUUGUAGGAUCACUGUGACAUUAUAAUGUAUGCAGGCAGCAGAUGUGAAUUACGUGAGUUCGGUUGUAGACCAUCAGCCUGUAGAUUAUGUAAUUUGUUUUAGUUGAGAUACUAAAAUGACUAGCACUAUAUUUCAAAAGAAAAAGGGCUAAUUCUUCUUUUGGUGGGUACCGGGAAGUACUGCUAAGUCUUCUUUUGCUAGGUGCCAGGAAGUAUCAUUCUUGUAAAUUUAUUUGAGUUUCUUGAUUAUAGUUCUCUCAACUUUGCCUGCACAUGAUGGUUAAUUGUUCAACCGUUCACAUGUUGAUUGAUUAUUUGACCAUGCAUUUUUCAAUGGUCCUGUUGACAGAAUUGACAUGAUUUAGAUUUGUCUUCAAGAUCCCGUUUGAAUGAUAUUAGGGUUCCCUUGUUUACUCCUUACUUUUCUUAUAUGCAUUCAGCAUAUUUGAAAACCAUUUGGAUCAGUAAUGGCCUAUGGACAGUAGAGUACUGGGGACUUAUAAUUAUGACUAUUUAAACUUGAAUUGUUUGCGUUCUUUCCAGUUAGACUACGGACAACACCAUGGAACCCUGAAUUUUGUUGCUCUGGAGUCUGGAAAAUCAUAGAGCUUCACCUUUCGUUGCUUUGCCGUAUCUCUCUUAUUUUCUUUUUCCCGCUGUCAGGAAGAGCUGUCUACUUUUUUGUGAAAUCGAAAGUUUUCUAAAAGUUCAUGUUCUUGGUUUGCUCAUCCAGAUCUAGGGCAAAGGCCAACAAGGAAAACAACAAAGAGGCUUUGGUGAAAUUUCACUACAAGGGCAUGGGUGUGGUUAGAGACAUGCUCGCACUAUUUUGAUGUUUGUUUCUAUAAAAAAUGAUGAUGUUUCUGUUGGGAGGAGAAUUCGUCAGCAAUUCAUUCAAACAUAGGAGAUUGAUACAAGUACAAUAACAUUGGGAAAAAAUAUGAUCUGUGUGGCCCAAUUUAUUGAACAAGUUCAACCAAGUUUAUGUUGUACUUAUGAUUUAGACAAUAUGUAUAUUGUCUUCUUACUAUA
Panicum virgatum (switchgrass) is the source of this 2323-nucleotide long non-coding RNA. RefSeq lists it as uncharacterized. Lineage: Eukaryota; Viridiplantae; Streptophyta; Magnoliopsida; Poales; Poaceae. The transcript is spliced from 2 exons. The record is from RefSeq and is a predicted model, not a curated record.